UAUAUAUCAUUAAAAAGUUUUUGACUUUCUAAUUUACUUAAAAUGCUAAUAUUAAAAAUAUUUUUUUAUAUUUCAACUUAUUUCAAAUAUAUAUUUUUAGAGUUAAAUUCAGUUAGUGGACUAUUAGCAAUAACCAUUAUUUCUGUAAAAUUAUUAGUUUGUCCUUUCAAAUAUAUCCUUCUACCAUCACAAAUUUUUCUUAUUUGACCUUUUAAGUUAUAAACAAAAGAAGUAUUUUGAUUUUUGGCAUUUUCAAAUAUACCCAUUUACCAUCACCAAUUUUUCUUAUUUAUCCUUAAAUUAUAGGCAAAAAAGAUAUAUUAAUUUUUUACAGGCAAAAGAGGUAUAUUAAUUUUUUUUACUCCAGUAGACAUUUAACUCGCAUUUAAAUCGAAAUAACUUAACAGAUGGUAAUUGUCGGGUAUUUUUGAAUAGCUAAGGAACAUAUAAGGGCUAUAUUAGAAAUAAAAAAAAGUAGGGAUAAAUUGAUAUUUUUGAAAUUUUAAGGGGUAUAUAGGUAAUUAUAUCAAAUAAAAAUGUAUAAAAUUUAUAUGAAUUAUAGACUAUCUCAAUAUGAUUAUUUAAUUUUUUAAAUUUAAAUUUUAAUAUAUAAAUUUGUGGGAGAGUGUAGGGUGAAGAUUCACGCAGGGAUGAUAUGUCACCGAUUCUCGCAUCACGAAAAAAAAAUAGUAAAGUUAAUUUAGUAAUUUGAUAGCGUACCUAUCUUGUUUUAUGUAUAAAAUAAAAAUAUGUAAAAUUUAUAUAAAUUAUAGACUAUUUUAAUUAUUUAAAUUUUUAAAAUUUUGAUUUAGUAUGUAAUUUUGUGGGAGAGCGGUGGAGAUUCAUGCGGGGAGGAUCUGUCACGGAUUCUUCAGAUAGUUGCCUUACGAAAAAUUAGUAAAGUUAAUUUAGUAAUUUGAUAGUGUCUGUCCGAUAACUGUAUAUAGAAUGUUUUAUGUAUAAGAUAGAAAUGUGCAAAAUUUAUAUAAAUUAUAGACUACUUUAAUUUGGUUAUUUAUUUAUUUUAAAAUUUUAAUUUAAGUACAUAAUUUUGUGGGAGAGAAUGGACGAAUACGAUGGUCACACGGGGAGGAUCUGUUACAGAUUUUUAGGUAAUCACGUCACGAAAAAUUAGUAAAGUUAAUUUAAUAAUCUAAUAGCGUGCCCGGUACCUAUAGAUAGAAUUAAUGUUUCAUAUAUAAGAUAGAAAUGUGUAAAAUUCAUAUGAAUUAUUAGACGGCUUUAAUUGGAUUAUUUAAGUUUUUAAAAUUGUAAUUGUAGUACAUAAUUUUAUGGAAGAGAAUGGACAAUGAAGAUUCACACGGGAAGGCACGAAAAAUUAGUAAAAUUAAUUUAGUAAUUUAUUAACGUGCCCGGCAACUAUAUAGAGAAUGUUGUAUGUAUAAGAUAGAAAUGUGUAAAAUUUAUAUGAAUUAUUAGACAACUUUAAUUUGAUUAUUUAAUUUUUUAAAAUUUUAAUUUUACUACAUAAUUUUGUGGGAGAGAAUGGACGAUGGAGAUUCAUGCAGGGAGGAUCUAUCACAGAUUCUUCAGAUAGUCGCGUCACAAAAGAUUAAUAAAGUUAAUUUAGUAAUUUGAUAGCAUGCCCAGUAACUAUAUAUAGAAUGUUUUAUGUAUAAAAUAUAUAUAUGUGUGUCUGUGUAGAGUUACUAUUCUUGUGAAAGCAUGAAAAAGUUCGUGUUUCUGACUUUCUGGCCUUUAAAUCAAGAAUUAUAGGAUUGGAAUAAUAGUGGUCCUUCUAGGAUUUAGUGGUUUUUCUAUGAAAAUAAUAUUAAUCGAAGAGCUAAAAGUGAUGAAAAUAUGUUGAUCUAUAGGUUAAAAAAUUAUAAGUAAUAUAGGAGUGGCGCUUUCGAAAGCACCAUAGUUGGACUCUCUCUACAUAUAUAUACUUUUAUAACUGUGAUCGUCUUUAUACUCAUAAGUCGUUUUCGAUGGUAAAGUUUUCGAGUCAACGAUCCAUACCUCUAAAUAUUACCUAGAGCAUUUGAAAUUUUUAGAAAUCAAAUUUCUUAAUUUUUCGACAUUAUUUACCUCACUAUCAAUAGAUUUUUUAGUUGACAACUUUUAAUGGUCAGUAUUGGAUAGUUGCCAAUUUAACGGUGUAAAAGAAUUAAAAUUGGUUGAAUUUUUUAUAGAAAAUUUUAUUCACUACCUAGAUAAAAAUUAAUAACUCCGAUAUUAAAUUGAAUAAUUUAAUUAUCUAAUUUUAGGAGGUUUUUCGAUUUUAUAU
This 2251-nucleotide long non-coding RNA is filed under the name Ananas comosus (pineapple). RNAcentral describes it as "long non-coding RNA (ACOM_LNC014110)". Lineage: Eukaryota; Viridiplantae; Streptophyta; Magnoliopsida; Poales; Bromeliaceae. The record is from RNAcentral.